GAGAGACUCGACUCCACUCCAGCGGCCCCUGUGCGCUGCAUUUCUGACAUCCGGCUGUCGGAGCUGUGUGAGCGCGGUGGAGCUGCAAGUUCACUUCCAGACGAGUCUCUCUCUCUCUCUCUCUCUCUCUCUCUCUCUCUCUCUCUCUCUCCAGUUGUUUUCCUGAACCAUGCCCAGAUGUUGCUUUGCGUCUUGAUUUUGACUCGCGUCUGAGCGCCGCCGGCCGGGUUUGCGCUCUAUCCCUCCCUCCCUCUCUGUCUCUCUCUCUCUCUCUCUCUCUCUCUCCCUCUCAUACUCGGGGUCUUGACUUGUCCCCUCCGUGCGCCGGUCCGGUCCGGUUCCGGUUCGUGCCGCUCCACCCGUGCGCUUUUUGGUGAUGGAGUUUAGUCGGUGUUCAGGAGCCGCUACGUGAGACGCGCGAAGGUUUUUGUGUCGCGGCACCAAAGCGGAGCGCAGUUCAGCGGGUGGAAGAUGACCGGUGAAGGUUUUCGGCGAACGACCACUCACUGACGCUCACUGGGCCUGGAUACAUUUCUUUCCCCCUACAUUCGUUUCCUCUCAUCAUCAUCCGUCUUGAAACCACUGUCACUGGCAUCUGGAAGAACAAAAUGGCUGCUUCACUGUGUAAAUGUCCCCUGCUGUACAGCCUCCUGUUCUCACUGGCCUUUUAUCAGGGCUCUCAAGCCUUCAGUCGAGCAGCUCUGCCAUUCGGCCUGGUACGCAGAGAGCUCUCGUGCGAAGGUUACCCCAUUGACCUCCGAUGCCCAGGGAGUGAUGUCAUCAUGAUCGAGACGGCCAACUACGGCCGCACGGACGACAAGAUCUGCGACGCCGACCCUUUCCAGAUGGAAAACAUCAACUGCUACCUCCCAGAUGCCUACAAAAUCAUAUCUCAGAGAUGUAACAACCGGACACAAUGUGUCGUUAUCACUGGAUCAGAUGUCUUUCCAGAUCCUUGUCCUGGGACAUACAAGUAUCUCGAGGUCCAGUAUGAGUGUGUCCCAUAUAUAUUCAUUUGUCCUGGGACUUUGAAAGCAGUGGGGGAACCAGUUUUUACUUUCGAGGCCGAGCAGCAAGCGGGAGCUUGGUGCAAAGACCCGCUACAAGCUGGAGACAAGAUCUAUUUCAUGCCAUGGACACCAUACCGUACCGAUACGCUAAUCGAAUACAACUCGCUCGAGGAUUUCCGCAACGGCCGCCAAAUGACGACGUACAAGCUGCCUCACCGAGUGGAUGGCACCGGAUUCGUGGCCUAUGAUGGCGCCAUCUUCUUCAACAAGGAGCGUACGAGGAACAUUGUCAAGUUUGACCUGCGUACACGCAUCAAGAGCGGCGAGGCCAUUGUGGCCAACGCUAACUACCAUGACACGUCACCUUAUCGGUGGGGAGGCAAAACUGACAUUGAUCUGGCUGUUGACGAGCGUGGAUUGUGGGUAAUCUAUGCGACAGAGCAGAACAACGGGCGCAUUGUCGUGAGCCAGCUGAAUCCGUACACACUACGCUUCGAGGCCACGUGGGAGACAGCGUACGACAAGCGCUCAGCCUCCGAUGCCUUCAUGGUGUGUGGUGUGUUACAUGUAGUGCGCUCUAGCUAUGAGGAGAAUGAAAGUGAGGCCAGCAAGAGCCAUAUCGACUACGUCUACAACACCAAGCUGGGCCGCGGCGAGUACACAGACAUCCCCUUCCCCAACAACUAUCAGUACAUUGCUGCUGUGGAUUACAACCCUCGAGACAACCAGCUCUACGUGUGGAAUAAUUUCUACAUCCUGCGCUAUGAGCUGGAGUUCGGCCCGCCAGAUCCUGACGAAGUGUCGACUCUCGCAGACGGGGUCACGUCAGCGGCGUUCCCGAGGAGAACCACGACUCUCAUGACCACCAGCAGCAGCUCCACACACAGAUUUCUGGCCAACGCCACACUCACUGUCAACCCCAAGCAGAGCAAAGGACCUCCAGUGGAGAACCCUGUGGCUGUAGAUCCCACCAAUGCUGGUCCUCCGCCCCCCAGCAGACGGUUCUGCGAGAGCACCGAUAUCCGAGGUAUUGUCUGGCCUCGUACACACAGGGGCGUCACCGUGGAGCGGCCGUGUCCCAAAGGAACCAGAGGUAUUGCCUCAUACCUCUGCACAGCUUUGAGUGGCACGUGGAACCCAAAGGGACCAGACCUCAGCAACUGCACCUCCCACUGGGUCACACAGGUGGCGCAAAAGAUCCGGAGUGGAGAAAACGCGGCGAACCUGGCCAACGAGCUGGCACGGCACACGCACGGCCCCGUGUUCGCUGGCGACGUCAGCUCCAGCGUCAGGCUCAUGGAGCAGCUGGUGGACAUCCUGGACGCACAGCUUCAGGAGCUCAAGCCCAGCGAGAAGGACUCGGCCGGACGCAGCUUCAACAAGGCCAUCGUGGACACGGUGGACAACCUGCUGAGACCAGAAGCGCUGAAGUCGUGGGAGGACAUGAACUCCACAGAGCAAACUCACGCCGCCACCAUGCUGCUGGACACGCUGGAGGAAGGAGCCUUCGUCCUCGCUGACAACCUGAUCGAGCCGGCCGUCGUCAAAGUGCCUGCAGAGAACAUAAUGUUGGACGUGUACGUGUUGAGCACAGACGGCCAUGUUCAGGAUUUCAAGUUUCCGCAGACAAGCAAAGGAGGUGCCACCAUCCAGCUCCCCGCCAACACAGUCAAAUUAAACAGCAAGAACGGUGUUGCAAAGCUGGUCUUUGUGCUCUACAAACACCUUGGGCAUUUUCUGACCACGGAGAAUGCCACCCUCAGGCUGGUGAGUGAAGGAGGAGGCGUGAGGAACCACACACUCACCGUCAACUCCCACAUCCUGUCUGCUUCCAUCAACAAGGAGUCCAGUCGCAUCUUCGUCUCCGAGCCUGUUGUCUUCACACUCGAACACCUUGAUACCGAGAACUACUUCAACCCAAACUGCUCGUUCUGGAACUACUCGGAGAGGAGCAUGAUGGGAUACUGGUCCACUCAGGGAUGCAAACUCCUAGAGACAAACAAGACCCACACCACUUGCUCGUGUAGUCACCUCACCAACUUCGCCAUCCUCAUGGCCCACCGAGGACACGUGGGCGAUGGAAGUGUCCACGAUUUUCUUCUGAGCGUUAUCACGCGCAUGGGCAUGGCCGUGUCCCUCGUCUGCCUGGCCAUCAGCAUCUUCACCUUCUGCUUCUUCCGUGGCCUGCAGAGCGACCGCAACACCAUCCACAAGAACCUGUGCAUCAACCUCUUCAUCGCCGAGCUCUUCUUCCUCGUGGGAUUCAACAUGACCGAACCUCCGAUCGUGUGCUCGGUUAUAGCCGGGAUUCUUCAUUUCUUUUUCCUGGCUGCGUUUGCGUGGAUGUGUCUGGAAGGCGUGCAGCUGUACGUCAUGCUCGUCGAGGUCUUCGAGAGCGAGUUCUCGCGCCGGAAGUACUAUUACGCAGCCGGGUACCUCUUCCCAGCCGUAGUGGUUGCCAUUUCGGCGGCUAUCGACUACAGGAGCUACGGGACCAAGAGAGUCUGUUGGCUGAGAGUUGAUAACCACUUCAUCUGGAGCUUCAUCGGCCCCGUCGUCUUCAUUAUAAUGCUCAAUCUGGCCUUCCUGGUCGUGACCAUGUACAAGAUGGUGAAGCACUCCACCUCGGUGAAGCCCGACUCCAGCCGCCUGGAGAGCAUCAGGUCGUGGGUGCUGGGAGCGUUCGCUUUGCUCUGUCUGCUUGGCCUGACCUGGUCGUUCGGGUUGUUCUUCCUGAACGAUUCGUCCAUCAUCAUGGCCUACCUCUUCACCGUCUUCAACACACUGCAAGGGAUGUUCAUCUUCAUCUUCCACUGUCUCCUCCAGAAGAAGGUGCGUAAAGAAUACGGGAAGUGUUUCCGUCAGUCUCAGUGCUGUGGUGCUUUGCCCCAGGACAACUCUCACAGCGUAGGCAAAACCUCCACGUCUCGCUCCACGGCCCGGUACUCCUCGGCCACUCAGAGUCGUAUCAGGCGGAUGUGGAACGACACGGUGAGGAAGCAGUCCGAGUCUUCCUUCAUCUCCGGAGACAUCAACAGCACCUCGACGCUGAACCAAGCUCAAGUCGUUUGAUGUCUGGUUUCGGAUUCUUCUCCACAUCAACAAGAGGGACUUUUCUUAUCUCGACGGCUGCGUGUCACACAACAACACCAAUAAUUUAUUUUUUUUUGCUUCCUUUCUAUUUGCUGCAAUCUCUCCCCCCCCCCCCCCCCCCCUCUAUUUCUAUUCAAAUUAGAGCGACUUGAGUCAUAUCCUGCACGAGAUGGGAAAUGGAGCCGCAGUUAAUCCAGCAUAUGAAUCUCUUAUCCAGGCGUCUUUUCAGGAACAAAUGGAUCAUUUGUGGAAAUAUCACUUCUUUUUAAUCUUUUUUGCAUAAAUAAUGAAUCAAACUUUUAAUCCGAAGACGUCUAAGAACAUGACUACUGCGACUGUGAUGUCGGUUUGACACAACAGAAAUUAAUGAUGAGUGAUAUUUCACGACAAAUGUUCCAUUUGUUUUUGCUCCGCUAGCAGAAAUGGAUCCAGAAGAAGCCACGCUGACAUUGUCACUUUAUCGGCUAGCUAGCUCAUAUUAAUUUGUAUGUACGUGUUCUGAAGGUGCUUCCACUAACAUUUGUGUAGAGACUGUGACUGUGACCGAGACUGUGACUAAAGUCACAGUGAUUUGCGCUAGCUGUUACAAACCGGGAUGUCUGGUCACUGUACCCUAUAGAUCCAGAACGGUAAGAGAUAGAGAAUGACGCUUAGUGAGGAAAAGUUGCGCCCUGCCAUGCCAAACAAAAUAAAAAAAAAAACUGAUUGAAAAAAACUUGAAACUUGACAGAGUUAUAAGUGAUUGAAAAAAAAAAUCUCAUUUUUCAUGGAUCAUUCUGGAUCAGUGAUCCAGAUCAGCACCAAAAGUCAUAGCAAUGUAAUUCAGCCCAGAGGUAUUCUUCAUGUGAAAUUUGGUGAUGGUUGAAAACUGAGGGAGAAAUAGCGUCCUGAAAAACGCUAGGAUAAUAAUAAUAAUAAUAAUAAUAAGUCAAAAGAUCCUGAGUGAGAGUCACAAUUUGCGCCAGCGCUGCUCACUCAAAUUAACUAGGAAAUGGAAGUUUACGUCGCGAAUGCCCAGAGUGAUAGUGAUACACACACUGAAACAUCCCAGUGCUGUUAUAAGAAAUAUGAGCACUCUUAUGCUAAGGUCCCAGUCGAGCCAUGAGAACCGUGGCUGGGGCCUACUGUGGCCAUUCUGAUAGAUUCGGAGGUGAUCCAUUGCAUAAAUUUGGGCGGAGUAAAUAUGUAAAUGAAGCGACGGUAACCGCGAUGGUAGCAACUGGAGAUGCCGGUAAAAACCAAUGGCAGCAGCGAAGUAUAGCGACGCAUGGCCUUAUAGCAAUGAUAGUUUUCAUGGCUGCUGUAUGGCAUAGCCAUGGCAAGAUGAAAUAAGCAACGCCCUUUUCAUUAAGGCAACCUUUUCACUUUCUGUGGAAUGUUUUUCCGUAAACAUUUUGAGUUCAGUGGUUGUGAAGGAAUGCUACAGUAACCUACGUAAACCUCACGUUUGCCUCAAGAUUGCUCACAGAUGCCUUCACGGUUGCGACGGGUGAAUUCGUCCAGCGCUUGACCCACGGCAGUUUCCAACACAACAAACUUUCCAGGCAUGGAAGCCACACCCUCCUGGUUGUCAACGUAGCUCCCCUGCUCUCACGUAUUCUGACGGAAGGGCCCAGAACGUGUGCCAGUUGACCCCCGGAAGGCCCAAAAUCAUCUCCCAGCAUCUACCGUGAAGUAAUUCUGGCUAUGUGAGACCUCAGCAUUAGAACGCUACUGAACCAAUCAAAUUAGCGAACCAGAACUAACUGGUAUAUAAGACAUGAUGUAUUAUAAAUACAAUAUAAUGAAAUGUACAUAUUAACAUUAUUAAUACUGCAAGCCAUGAUAUUAAUUAACAGAAUGAGAUUAACUCGUACCAUUAUUAACGCCUGAUCAGACUGUAUACGACUCACUCGGCUGUUCGUUGAUACACUUCGUUAUUUCCUGAUGUGCUCAGGAUUAGUGAUUUUAUUAAUUCAUUAACGAAGUGUUAAAUAUAUGCUUAUUUACGGACCUUGAAAUAUCCACGCUGACUGUCGGUUGCACGAUAUUUUCCGAGAGCUGCAUCAAAUCCGUGACAGGUUUGAAAUGAUUCAUUUCAGGAAUCGAAUCAUUGAAGUGAUUCCUCAAAUCCCUUUUCCUACUUUCACCAUCCUCCAUCCUGUCAUAUUUCCUGUUUUUAUUUUCCUUCUAUGCAUUCCUUUUACGCAAGCAACCUGAGUUAUAGAAUGUGUUCGAGACUCGUUUUGGCGAGUCGUUCAUUUUGUUAUUUUCCCUGCUUGGUAAUUAUGAUUCGAUGAGCUGUUUAAACACCCACCCGGACUAGGAAAAAAAGCUGGUAAGCCCUCGGUGUACAUCUUAGAGCGGCGACAUUGUGGUGGCUUUGGCAAGCAAUAUGAUGUAUUUGAGGAGAAAAUGGGAAGAGAAGCUGCUUUGGGACCAAGGGGUUGCUGGUUCAAUUCCCUGGUUGUUCCAUGUUGCACGUCGCUCUGGAUAAGAGCGUCCGCUAAAUGCCUGUAAUGUAACGUGAUAUAAAAUGAACAACGGCUUAGUUAUGAAAACCAGGAUUGAUUAAAUAUCCAGAAUUGAUCAUGAAGAUAACGAAAAUUUGAAUUGAAAAGUAUUCCAGGAUAUCUCGAGCGGUGCAAAAGUAACAUGUUGGAGAUCACAAGUCAAAAUCGUAACGAUAUCAUGGACAUUUGUGACCAGGAGCUCAUGAGAGCGCGUGAUUAGCCGAUCUUUCUGGGUGGGAGGGGUGGUGUUAGUUUCUGUCCUGUCAAUCAGAGCGAUGCUAGCCAAUCACGAGCAUCCCUGAGCUCAUGUAUGUGGAAGAGGGCAGAGAGCGCACGUCUCUGAGGCUGUUCCACAGCCCUGUGAUGCAGCAAGAGCAGCAGUUUGAAAGGAUGUAUGUACAUGUUAGCGUUCAUCCUUCCUAGCCGGUGGUUGGCGUACGAUAAGGAGAGCUACAACACCAAUAACAGGUGAAAUCUGAACACUCUGAACUGGAACUCAAACUGGCCAAAGUAAUUUACAGUAUUUGAGAGGCCACAUACAGAAGCCAAAACAAACCUCAAGUAGAUUAUGCAAGCUUUUAAGCUUGAAGGUCGCCUCCAUUAGACGUACACCGAGGGCUUUAGAGAGAGAGAGAGAGAGAGAGAGAGAGAGAUGCUGUGAAUGCUUGCUGCUGUACCCUUACACACUCCAUAUCCUGAAUUCAGUCAUCCGGCGCGCCUGCUCGUUAAUUAGAUGAACUAAGUGAUGAGCAAUGAAGGAAGUCAUAAUUACAGCAAUGAAAGGGGCUGCUCGUCACGGCUCCAUAUGCACCCACAUGUGUUUUAUUGAUCGUACUCAUCUCAGAUCAUUUAUUAUGGUGCACACUGGGAAUUAAUUAUUUACAUUCGAAUCGCUGAUUUGUAUUACAGAUCUGCAUCGUUUAUCCAGAAAAUAUAUUUUCAUCUCGGAGUGAUUGGAGAAUUUUUUUUUUUAAGCCAAAAUUGGCUUAAAAACAAUCAAAAUAAAUGAGAAAUAGUUUAUUUGCUGGAAAAAAAAAAUUGAAUUACAGAAACAAAAACACAAUGAUUUAGUUUUUGGAAUUGUUUUAAAAUGUUAAUAGCGAGGGGGGGAAGGACGGGAUAAUGUAGGAAGCUUCGUCUCAACCCAGGAGAAUAAGAAUACAAAAAAAAAGGUAUUUUCUGUGUUUCAUUUAUAAUGUUUAGGAUUCAUUGAUCUGCAUUUGCAUAUAAUGCAAUACAAUAUAUUAUAUUAUUCUGUCCACAUUCACUGGAUAUAAGCAAUCGCGCGCUCUGAUUGGCUACUCUACUACGAGGAUAUCGCUCUACUACUAGGAUAUCGCUCUACUACUAGGAUAUCACUGUACUAUUAAGAUGCUCUACUACUAGGAUUUCCCUCUUCUACUAGGAUUUCGCUCUACUACUAGGAUAUCACUCUACUACUAAGAUUUCCCUCUACUACUAGGAUAUCGCUCUACUAUUAGGAUAUCACUCUACUAUUAGGAUACUCUACUACUAGGAUAUCACUCUACUACUAGAAUACUCUACUAUUAGGAUAUCACUCUACUACUAGGAUGUCACUCUACUAUUAGGAUAUUCUACUAUUAGGAUAUCACUUUAUUACCAGGAUACUCUAUUACUAGGAUAUCCCUCUCCUAAUAAGAUACCCUACUAUUAGGAUAUCACUCUAUUACCAGGAUACUCUACUACUAAGAUAUCAUUCUACUACUAGGAUACUCUAUGACUAGGAUAUCACUCUAUUACAAGGAUAUCGCUCUACUACUAGGAUAUCACUCUAUUACAAGGAUAUCGCUCUACUACUAGGAUAUCACUGUACUAUUAAGAUACUCUACUACUAGGAUAUCACUCUACUACUAGGAUUUCCCUCUUCUACUAGGAUAUCGCUCUACUAUUAGGAUAUCACUCUACUCCUAGUAUAUCACACUACUACUAGAAUACUCUACUAUUAGGAUAUCACUCUACUACUAGAAUACUCUACUUUUAGGAUAUCACUCUAUUACCAGGAUACUCUACUACUAGGAUGUCACUCUACUAUUAGGCUACUCUACUAUUAGGAUAUCACUUUAUUACCAAGAUACUCUAUGACUAGGAUAUCGCUCUAUUACAAGGAUAUCGCUCUACUACUAGGAUAUCGCUCUACUACUAGGAUAUCACUGUACUAUUAAGAUGCUCUACUACUAGGAUAUCGCUCUACUACUAGGAUUUCCCUCUUCUACUAGGAUUUCGCUCUACUACUAGGAUUUCUCUCUACUACUAGGAUAUCGCUCUACUAUUAGGAUAUCACUCUACUAUUAGGAUACUCUACUACUAGGAUCUCACUCUACUCCUAGGAUAUCACACUACUACUACUACUAGAAUACUCUACUAUUAGGAUAUCACUCUACUACUAGGAUAUCACUCUAUUAUUAAGAUACUCUACGACUAGGAUAUCACUCUACUACUAGGAUAUCACUCUACUACUAGAAUACUCUACUAUUAGGAUAUCUCUCUAUUACCAGGAUACUCUACUACUAGGAUGUCACUCUACUAUUAGGAUACUCUACUAUUAGGAUAUCACUUUAUUACCAGGAUACUCUACUACUAGGAUGUCACUCUACUAUUAGGAUACUCUACUAUUAGGAUAUCUCUCUAUUACCAGGAUACUCUACUACUAGGAUGUCACUCUACUAUUAGGAUACUCUACUAUUAGGAUAUCACUUUAUUACCAGGAUACUCUACUACUAGGAUAUCCCUCUCCUAAUAAGAUACCCUACUAUUAGUAUAUCACUCUAUUACCAGGAUACUCUACUACUAGGAUAUCAUUCUACUACUAGAAUACGCUUCUACUAGGAUAUCACUCUAUUACUAGGAUACUCUAUGACUAGGAUAUCGCUCUAUUACAAGGAUAUCCCUCUACUACUAGGAUAUCACUCUACUACGAGGAUACUCUACUAUUAGGAUAUCACUUUACUAUUAGGAUAUCACUCUACUACUAUAUCACUCUACUAAUAGGAUACUCUACUAUUAGGAUAUCACUCUAUUACCAGGAUACUCUACUACUAGGAUAUCAUUAUACUACUAGAAUACUCUUCUAUUAGGAUAUCACUCUAUUACCAGGAUACUCUACUACUAGGAUAUCAUUCUACUACUAGAAUACUCUUCUACUAGGAUAUCACUCUAUUACUAGGAUACUCUAUGACUAGGAUAUCACUCUAUUACAAGGAUAUCCCUGUACUACUAGGAUAUCACUCUACUACGAGGAUACUCUACUAUUAGGAUAUCACUUUACUAUUAGGAUAUCACUCUACUAAUAGGAUACUCUACUAUUAGGAUAUCACUCUAUUACCCAGAUACUCUACUACUGGGAUAUCACUCUACUGCUAGAAUACUCUUCUACUAGGAUAUCACUCUAUUACUAGGAUACUCUACGACUAGGAUAUCACUCUAUUACUUCUAUAUCCCUCUACUACUAGGAUAUUUCUCUACUACUAGGAUACUCUACUAGUAGGGUAUCACUCUGUUACCAGGAUACGCUACUACUAGGAUUGAAUUUGCAAAAUAACAAUGCUCUGUUUCUCAAAAUCCAGUGAAUGUAGAUAGAAUAAAACAGUUAUUCCACGAAAUCAAGUCGUACAUGAGCUUUACACGCCUCGUCGGCUAUCAGCUCAUGCACGGCUCAAUUUCAUGGGAUAACUGUUAAAUGUAGUGUAAUCCAGGAUCAAUCUAUUCCCUAGCUGAAAGGAUGGACUGAAUUCAGAGACGUUAGAGUUUGAAAGCUUUCUUUUUUGCUGUUUCUCACUUGUUUAUCAUUGCUACAAUUUUUUAAAAAAACGCCGUUGUUUCACUUUUCUUUUGGCACGUCGGCAGUUCUCAGGCCAGCUAGCCUGAGCAGACACACAUAAUGUGAGUGGUGGCAAAGCCAGCACUCUCGGACGAACAGCCGUGACGUCAGUGCCAUGGACACGC
Molecule: RNA transcript, 10558 nt
Organism: Neoarius graeffei (lesser salmon catfish)
Lineage: Eukaryota; Metazoa; Chordata; Actinopteri; Siluriformes; Ariidae
Gene name: adhesion G protein-coupled receptor L2-like
Exons: 21
Source: RefSeq, a predicted model, not a curated record